UAUAGAAAGCGAGAAAUUUGCAUUUGGUUUCGGCCCAAAUUUUUUAGGUGUAAGUCCUUUUUUAUAUUA
RNAcentral lists this transfer RNA (69 nucleotides) under Pomacea maculata. Its description in RNAcentral is "tRNA-Arg". Lineage: Eukaryota; Metazoa; Mollusca; Gastropoda; Architaenioglossa; Ampullariidae. The record is from RNAcentral.